GAGUCGUUGAUUUCACACUGCCAAGAAAAGCCUCUAGCUAGAAUUUUGGUGCCCGUACCGCAAACCGACACAGGUAGUCAAGAUGAGAAUUCUAAGGUGAGCGAGCGAACUCUCGUUAAGGAACUCGGCAAAAUGACCCCGUAACUUCGGGAGAAGGGGUGCUCUUUAGGGUUAACGCCCAGGAGAGCCGCAGUGAAUAGGCCCAAGCGACUGUUUAUCAAAAACACAGGUCUCUGCUAAACCGUAAGGUGAUGUAUAGGGGCUGACGCCUGCCCGGUGCUGGAAGGUUAAGAGGAGUGGUUAGCUUCGGCGAAGCUACGAAUCGAAGCCCCAGUAAACGGCGGCCGUAACUAUAACGGUCCUAAGGUAGCGAAAUUCCUUGUCGGGUAAGUUCCGACCCGCACGAAAGGCGUAACGAUUUGGGCACUGUCUCAACGAGAGACUCGGUGAAAUCAUAGUACCUGUGAAGAUGCAGGUUACCCGCGACAGGACGGAAAGACCCCGUGGAGCUUUACUGUAGUCUGAUAUUGAAAUUCGUCACAGCUUGUACAGGAUAGGUAGGAGCCUUUGAUACGUGAGCGCUAGCUUACGUGGAGGCGUUGUUGGGAUACUACCCUCGCUGUGUUGGAUUUCUAACCCGCACCAUUUAUCAUGGUGGGAGACAGUGUCAGAUGGGCAGUUUGACUGGGGCGGUCGCCUCCUAAAGAGUAACGGAGGCGCUCAAAGGUUUCCUCAGAAUGGUUGGAAAUCAUUCAUAGAGUGUAAAGGCAUAAGGAAGCUUGACUGCGAGACUUACAAGUCGAGCAGGGUCGAAAGACGGACUUAGUGAUCCGGUGGUUCCGCAUGGAAGGGCCAUCGCUCAACGGAUAAAAGCUACCCCGGGGAUAACAGGCUUAUCUCCCCCAAGAGUUCACAUCGACGGGGAGGUUUGGCACCUCGAUGUCGGCUCAUCGCAUCCUGGGGCUGUAGUCGGUCCCAAGGGUUGGGCUGUUCGCCCAUUAAAGCGGUACGCGAGCUGGGUUCAGAACGUCGUGAGACAGUUCGGUCCCUAUCCGUCGUGGGCGUAGGAAAUUUGAGAGGAGCUGUCCUUAGUACGAGAGGACCGGGAUGGACAUACCUCUGGUGUACCAGUUGUCGUGCCAACGGCAUCGCUGGGUAGCUAUGUAUGGACGGGAUAAGUGCUGAAAGCAUCUAAGCAUGAAGCCCCCCUCAAGAUGAGAUUUCCCAACUUCGGUUAUAAGAUCCCUCAAAGAUGAUGAGGUUAAUAGGUUCGAGGUGGAAGCAUAGCGAUAUGUGGAGCUGACGAAUACUAAUCGAUCGAAGACUUAAUCAAA
This 1334-nucleotide ribosomal RNA is filed under the name Snodgrassella alvi. RNAcentral describes it as "bacterial LSU rRNA". It matches the Rfam family "Bacterial large subunit ribosomal RNA", at positions 1588 to 2925 of the family's 2925-position model. The record is from RNAcentral. Lineage: Bacteria; Pseudomonadati; Pseudomonadota; Betaproteobacteria; Neisseriales; Neisseriaceae.